GCGAGCAAUAAGAGUAUAUCAAUCAAAAGGAAAAAAAAUUAGGGUUUACAAACGAAAUGACAUUAUUGUGGAGGAUGUUAGUCAAUGUUAGUCUAAUAGGGAAAUGAAAAAAACAUACCUUUGGAAAAAGAGAUGACGGUGUUUGAACAUGAUACAACAAAACUUCAACAAUAGUGUUAAUCUGCAUAUACACAAAAAGGUUAGAAAAACUCAAAAGACGUUAAACUGUAAAAUUAAACUGGUCAUAUUUAUGCU
RNAcentral lists this long non-coding RNA (255 nucleotides) under Brassica napus (rape). Its description in RNAcentral is "long non-coding RNA (BNAP_LNC007031)". Lineage: Eukaryota; Viridiplantae; Streptophyta; Magnoliopsida; Brassicales; Brassicaceae. The record is from RNAcentral.